AAUUUUAAAAUCCACAGCCUCUCUGCUCUUUUUCUCUGGGCUGUGGACCAGCCUGGAUUCCCCUCAAGGCCGCAUGUUUGAAGGUGGGAAGUGUUGUGUGUCUGAAAAUGAAUGACGAGGUGUGUGUGGAGUUUAUUGUUGCGUAUGUUGCGGAGGUGUUGUCUGAGGCGUAUGCGGAGUGUAUGUUUGGUUUCUCCAAUGUAGAUCAGGUGACGGAGGGUACAGGUGAUGGCAUAAACUAAGUUGGGGGUGUCUAGAUUAAGGGGGCUGUUGGGGGCUGAAAGGUGACUAUGAAUGUUUGUGAUAAAGUGAUGGGGUCUGAAAUAAAUAUUUUCUUUGGGAGUGGGGGGCUUGAGAUGACGGGUGAAGGUGUGGUGAUGAGGGGUAGGAUGUAUGUUUCUGUAGGGGGGUUAAGGUUAGGGUUAGGAAUGAGGUCUGAUAUAGGGUGUGAUGGCACGGCUGGGCUAGGGUAAAGAUCUGGGAUGGGGUUAGAGACAGGGUUAGGGUUAGGAAUGGGGUUAGGGUCAGGAGGGGAACUUGGUUGGGUUGUGUAGGUGUGUGUCUGGUCCUGGUUGGGGUUUGGAUGGUGAUGGUUGAAGGAGGUAGUGGGGUGUGGGUUGGGAGGUGUGGAAGGCUGGAUGAUUUGAGAAGUGUCUGAAUGGGCCUGUGUGUGGUUGGGAUGUCGUGUGUGAGGGGUGUUUGAGUGAGUAGGAGCAAGACUGGUCAGUGUUUCAUUUUUUAUGGAACGGAGGAAGCGUUUUGAAUAGUGGCGUGUAUGGAGGGCAUGAAAUAGAAUUUUGAUGGCAUGGUGGAGGUCUGAGGGGAAGGAGCA
This is a long non-coding RNA of Clupea harengus (Atlantic herring), 832 nucleotides long. The record is from Ensembl. NCBI's taxonomy places the organism in Eukaryota, Metazoa, Chordata, Actinopteri, Clupeiformes, Clupeidae.